GCUCCCGUGGUGAAAUGGAUAUCACAACGGUCUUCGGAACCGUCGUUGCAGGUUCGAGUCCUGCCGGGAGCACAA
Molecule: transfer RNA, 75 nt
Filed under: Candidatus Taylorbacteria bacterium CG11_big_fil_rev_8_21_14_0_20_46_11
Lineage: Bacteria; Candidatus Tayloriibacteriota
Description: tRNA-Arg
Rfam family: tRNA
About the family: Transfer RNA (tRNA) molecules are approximately 80 nucleotides in length. Their secondary structure includes four short double-helical elements and three loops (D, anti-codon, and T loops). Further hydrogen bonds mediate the characteristic L-shaped molecular structure. tRNAs have two regions of fundamental functional importance: the anti-codon, which is responsible for specific mRNA codon recognition, and the 3' end, to which the tRNAs corresponding amino acid is attached (by aminoacyl-tRNA synthetases). tRNAs cope with the degeneracy of the genetic code in two manners: having more than one tRNA (with a specific anti-codon) for a particular amino acid; and 'wobble' base-pairing, i.e. permitting non-standard base-pairing at the 3rd anti-codon position.
Source: RNAcentral